Molecule: ribosomal RNA, 116 nt
Filed under: Candidatus Berkelbacteria bacterium
Lineage: Bacteria; Candidatus Berkelbacteria
Source: RNAcentral
GCUGGUGCUGAAGCGGCGGGGGUACACCUCUUAAUCAUUCCGAACAGAGUAGUUAAGCCCGCCAGCGCCGAUGGUACUUGGAGCAUAGCUCCCGGGAGAGUAGGUCGGCGCCAGCA